UAUUUUAAAUCCAAGUCCUUUAUUGUAUUGACAUUCAUCAAAUUGAUACUAGAGCCACCAUCUACUUGAACGUUGGGAAUUAGAACACCAUUAAUUGAUACAUCGAUAGUUGGUGUCCCUGGAUCAAGAUUCAAACUAACUUCAUGAAUUUCUCUAUUACAAGACUUAUAUCUUAUUAAUGAGCCAAUCAAUGUAGAAUGGCAUUCCGGUGCUAUUAUCAAAAGCUACUUCAUUAUGACAAAGAGUUGAAGUACAUCCAAAUCUUUCAAAAUAUCAUACGGUUCCAUAUUGAAAGUGAUUUCUAAUGCCCUCUUUUAUUUCAUUGGUUUUGGUUUUACUCCUUGAGAUAUUAAAUCCUUUCUUGUAGUCAAAAUUACUGUCUAUAUAUUCUUUGAGUUUCUUUCUUCCAAAAGAUUCUUUAAUGGAUAAGACAUUUUAUUCAAAAUUGGGUUUGGUGGGAUUGAUAAAU
RNAcentral lists this long non-coding RNA (469 nucleotides) under Physcomitrium patens. RNAcentral describes it as "long non-coding RNA (PPAT_LNC011397)". Lineage: Eukaryota; Viridiplantae; Streptophyta; Bryopsida; Funariales; Funariaceae. The record is from RNAcentral.